RNAcentral lists this ribosomal RNA (2349 nucleotides) under Ixodes scapularis (black-legged tick). RNAcentral's name for it is "eukaryotic LSU rRNA". The stretch from base 1241 to 2349 matches the Rfam family "Eukaryotic large subunit ribosomal RNA", at positions 1891 to 3318 of the family's 3401-position model. The record is from RNAcentral. Lineage: Eukaryota; Metazoa; Arthropoda; Arachnida; Ixodida; Ixodidae.
CCAGUCACAGCUGGGUGUCCUCGGGGGUUACGACUCCCCCGGAAGUCAGUGACCGCCCACCACCCUCUGGGGAUACCCCUGGGGGGGGUCGCGAGAGCCAAAGCAGAGAAUGGUAAAAAUACGAAUAUACAAAGGCACAAACAAAAAGUGUAUAACCAAUCAAGGGCCCGAGGUAGACCAAGAGAGACUACCCAUUUCAUAGAAGGGGGUGGGAGACGGGGAACUGGGGGGGCGGGCAGAGGAUAGAAAAACGGAGAGGAGAUAGCGCCUAAAGUGACCACAAAGAGAAAGAUUGAAAGAGGGGAGGGAAAGAGAGAAAAACGCCAUAGUUUUUUUUUUCUCUUUUUAUUUGUAAAUAUUGCUAGUCGUUGAGAUAAGUAGAGCAAAAAAAAACAAUAAGGAACUUUGCAGUGGUCGCCGCGCGCCGGAUUCACACGGCGGGGCCGUUUGUACUGCCAGCAGCAGUAGGACACUAGGGUAGCUACUACCAUAGUGUCCAUGAAACUUCGCCACACAUAAGAAUAACAAUCAAUACUAGAUUUAUAAAUAUUAAAAGGAAUAUAACACUUUUAACAAGAAAGAUAAAUAUUAAACAUUAUCCCGUCCCGUUGAGGAAACAAGCGGAAAAAAAUCGCAGUAGGGAAUCUAUAAUAACAAGUGUUAAAAAGAGGAAAUAGGCAAAUAGACACCUAAAACAUCCAUGCUUUGAAUACAGAGGGCUAUAUAGCUCCCAUAAUGGUACAGGUUAUGACAAAUAUAGGAAGUAUAUAUACAAACAAGGAAAAUAAUAACAGAUAAUACCCAUGAGUACAUAUAGGGUUAUAGAAAGAAGAAUGCUGGAGGUAUACGCCAAUAAUACAAAUAACAAAAUACACACCAAAAAGAAAAAACUGUUUUGAAAUAGAUAUUAACCUUUUGUGGAGUUCUCUCAUUUCAGAUGUGCAGCUCUAACCGAGUGUGCAACAGGGACACAAGUGAUGCCCGAACUUCAAGAAGGAAGCAGACACCCGGAAGGAACGGGACCUCUGAAGAAAAUAUAUCUAUAAGUAUAUGUUUUUUUUUUAAGUUUACAACGUAAUAAGAAAUGCUAAAUAAAUGCCGCUGAUCCAAACCCUUUCCCUUGGUUGCUGGUUGCUAGAUACUUUCUUUUUCUCAAAUUGGUUUUUAUAUCAAAAAAGAAAUCUUGGCUGAUUAGCCCCAUUAAUUUAUUUUAAUUGGCUUUAAGCCCGCAGUGCUCACGCGGGAGCGGGCAGGGGACUAGUUACUUUUCAGUCUUUAUUCAUUCCCCACCUCAAAAGUUGUCCCUAUCUACUAUCUAGCGAAACCACAGCCAAGGGAACGGCUUGGAAAAAUCAGCGGGAAAGAAGACCCUGUUGAGCUUGACUCUAGUCUGACUCUGUGAAGAGACAUGAGAGGUGUAGCAUAAGUGGGAGGCCGUGAACCUCGCGGUUGUGUCGUGCCGUCAGUGAAAUACCACUACUUUCAUCGUUUCUUUACUUACUGGGUGAAGCGGAAAGCGGACCAUGAGUGUCCACGCUUCUAGCAAUAAGUGCAGGCCAUUCGUUGGCCCGCACGAUCUGUUCCGAGGACAGUGUCAGGCGGGGAGUUUGACUGGGGCGGUACAUCUGUCAAAUGGUAACGCAGGUGUCCUAAGGCGAGCUCAGCGAGGACAGAACCUCGCGUAGAGCAAAAGGGCAAAUGCUUGCUUGAUCUUGAUUUUCAGUACGAUUACAGACCGCGAAAGCGGGGCCCCUCGAUCCUUUUGACUUUAAGAGUUUUAAGCAAGAGGGUCAGAAAAGUUACCACAGGGAUAACUGGCUUGUGGCGGCCAAGCGUUCACAGCGACGUCGCUCUUUGAUCCUUCGAUGUCGGCUCUUCCUAUCAUUGCGAAGCAGAAUUCGCCAAGCGUUGGAUUGUUCACCCACUAAUAGGGAACGUGAGGUGGGUUAGGACCGUCGGUGAGACAGGUUAGUUUUACCCUACUGAUGACUGGUCAUUGCGAUGUAAUCCUGCUCAGUACGAGAGGAACCGCAGGUUCGGACACUUGGUUCAUGUGCUUGGUCGAGAGACCAGUGGUGCGAAGCUACCAUCCGUGGGAUUACGACUGAACGCCUCUAAGUCAGAAUCCCGUCUAAGCAGUGCAGUGAUAUCGUGCGCACUUGCAGCGUUUGCAGGUGACGUUAGAGUUUCUCGGGUCGAUCGCGGCGGGCCGCCGCGAUUCCCGGCUCGACGACGCCACAUGGACGUGGGGGCAUUAGUCGUUCGCCGAGGUAACGGUGCGAGCGACGCUCCCAUGCACUCGUUUUUGGUGUGAACCGCUGCGGUGUCAAAUCGUCUGUAGACGACUUA